RNAcentral lists this ribosomal RNA (468 nucleotides) under uncultured bacterium. RNAcentral describes it as "partial 16S ribosomal RNA". It matches the Rfam family "Bacterial small subunit ribosomal RNA", at positions 28 to 507 of the family's 1533-position model. The record is from RNAcentral.
GACGAACGCUGGCGGCGUGCUUAACACAUGCAAGUCGAACGGAAAGGCCCUGCUUUUGUGGGGUGCUCGAGUGGCGAACGGGUGAGUAACACGUGAGUAACCUGCCCUUGACUUUGGGAUAACUUCAGGAAACUGGGGCUAAUACCGGAUAGGAGCUCCUGCUGCAUGGUGGGGGUUGGAAAGUUUCGGCGGUUGGGGAUGGACUCGCGGCUUAUCAGCUUGUUGGUGGGGUAGUGGCUUACCAAGGCUUUGACGGGUAGCCGGCCUGAGUGGGUGACCGGCCACAUUGGGACUGAGGUACGGCCCAGACUCCUACGGGAGACAGCAGUGGGGAAUAUUGCACAAUGGGCGGAAGCCUGAUGCAGCAACUCCGCGUGCGGGAUGACGGCCUUCGGGUUGUAAACCGCUUUCGCCUGUGACGAAGCGUGAGUGACGGUAAUGGGUAAAGAAGCACCGGCUAACUACGUG